This 311-nucleotide ribosomal RNA is filed under the name uncultured Glomus. RNAcentral's name for it is "SSU rRNA". It matches the Rfam family "Eukaryotic small subunit ribosomal RNA", at positions 570 to 886 of the family's 1831-position model. The record is from RNAcentral. Lineage: Eukaryota; Fungi; Glomeromycota; Glomeromycetes; Glomerales; Glomeraceae.
GCAGCCGCGGUAAUUCCAGCUCCAAUAGCGUAUAUUAAAGUUGUUGCAGUUAAAAAGCUCGUAGUUGAAUUUCGGGAUCAGUACGUUGGUCGUGCCUUAGGUACGUACUGGUGUUACUGGUUCCUACCUUCUGACGAACCAUCAUGUCAUUCAUUUGGUGUGGCGGGGAAUCAGGACUGUUACUUUGAAAAAAUUAGAGUGUUUAAAGCAGGCUCGCGCUUGAAUACAUUAGCAUGGAAUAAUGAAAUAGGACGUUGAUCCUAUUUUGUUGGUUUCUAGGAUUGACGUAAUGAUUAAUAGGGAUAGUUGGG